UACGGGGGGGGGCAAGCGUUGUUCGGAAUUACUGGGCGUAAAGGGCUCGUAGGCGGCCAACUAAGUCAGACGUGAAAUCCCUCGGCUUAACCGGGGAACUGCCUCUAAUACUGGAUGGCUUGAGUUUGGGAGAGGGAUGCGGAAUUCCAGGUGUAGCGGUGAAAUGCGUAGAUAUCUGGAGGAACACCGGUGGCGAAGGCGGCAUCCUGGACCAACACUGACGCUGAGUGAGCGAAAGCCAGGGGAGCAAACGGG
RNAcentral lists this ribosomal RNA (255 nucleotides) under uncultured bacterium. RNAcentral's name for it is "partial 16S ribosomal RNA". It matches the Rfam family "Bacterial small subunit ribosomal RNA", at positions 524 to 776 of the family's 1533-position model. The record is from RNAcentral.